This 40083-nucleotide long non-coding RNA is filed under the name Citrus maxima (pomelo). RNAcentral describes it as "long non-coding RNA (CMAX_LNC001702)". Lineage: Eukaryota; Viridiplantae; Streptophyta; Magnoliopsida; Sapindales; Rutaceae. The record is from RNAcentral.
AAUAUUAACACUUCCCACAUACAGACAAGAGGAAAAAGAAACUCUCUCAGCUUCCUUCGGUUACGCUCUCAAAAACCCUGAGAAAAAAGGCUUCAAUAAUGGCAUUCUCAAAGGCUUCAAUGGCUACGCUGAUGAUGGCCGUUGUCCUGGCCGCCUUGGCUCUCGCAGGGUCGGCUCAAGAUCUCUCUCCCGCUCCAGCUCCCGCUUCCGGAGCCGGCUCGAUCUCGCCUUCCUUCGCCGCCGCUGGUGUCGCUCUCCUUUCCGCUCUGGUGUUCGGCUCAGUUCUCAGGGUUUAAGAGGCCGGUUCUCUAUCUGAUUACGUGUCACUAGCUUAUUGGGCGUGUAGAGUGGUUUCUUCAUAUUUUUUUCUUCUUUUUUUGCGUUGUUUAGACGUUAUGUGGGCUCAGUAGCGGCGGAUCCACUGGGUUUUAGUCUUUUAGGGAGUGAGUCUUAUUACAUAUAAAUUUUAUAAUGAGAGAGAGUUAUCAGUUAUGCUUUGUAGCUCACGGAGAUGUGAUGAUAUGAUUUGAUUUAUGUUUGUUAUUUUGGAGACUUAUGAUUAUUAUCAGUAUAUAUUAAGCUAUUCCUUUUGUUGUUAUGUUAUAGAUCCUUCACUAUCCGCUUUUCUUUUAAUUUUUUACGUAAAAUCAAUUUAAUUUUAUUUCACUCGAAUCGCGUUCGCCGGACGACAGAAGAGGAAAUGCAUUUCCCACAAGAAUCGAAGAAAAGUAAAAGUAAUGCACUUGCAAACAGUAAUUCGUAUUUUCCCUAAACAAAAAAGUCCCAAGUGGCAAGGCAUAGCUGACACGUGUACUCAUUGGCUUCUGCACUCCCAUUCCCAUGUGCAAUUGUGCAAAAGGACAAAUGAGUGAGAGAAUUGGAGGAGAAGGGGAAUCUGUGCCCUUCACAUGAUCAACGGGAACACAUUUUUUUUUUUUUUUUGGCCUUUUUAAAUUAUUCCAAGUCUAAGUCAUCGGGUCUGUGGCACCUUCGUGAAAACAGAAAACAACAGGGGGAUCAAAUGUGCAAUGAUUCAAUUUGUUGGUUUAUAGGGGUAUAUCAUUACACUUGGCGAUGCCUUGGAAGAAGUCGCCAGGAUGAUGAUUUUUUAAAAGUUUAUGUUGUACAAGGCAGUCUUUGCGAAAUUGGCUCAUUCGGCCCAACUAUCCUUUUGUAAUCAAUGGCUAAGCGUGAUUUGGAACGUAUUUAUUUGACCGGUGAGCUGAGGUUAUUCUCCCUUUUCAUUCGCCCCCACCCAACCCCCCCACCUGGAGUUCACCAACAUUUGCUUAGCUUGUACGAAUAUUAUAGUUGGUUUGUGGACCCUACCACGUAAUUGUUGAUUCGCGUUUGCUUUGCCCUACAUAAUUAUACUAAAUCAAUAAUUCUAGAAAUAUAAACUCUUUAACAAGCAUUACUUAGUGCCUGUUUGGUAUGGCUUAUUUAAGAGCCAUAAGUGCUUAUUUAAUCGUAUAAGCGCUUUUUAAAAUUUUUUAUGGUGUUUGGUUAUUUUUUUAGUAGAGUUUUUUUAGCUUAAAUAAGUGAAUUUACCUCUACUAACAAAAGCCCAAAAUUUGAGCUUUUGGGAGUAGAGGUUAUAGAGCUUUUCUAAAAAUAUCUAAUAUAAAAAAUAUCACACAAUUUAAUGGUUCAAAAGUACUUUUUUUAUUGACAACCAAACACCCAAUGACUUUUUGUCCAAAAGCUCUAUUGGUAUAAGCUCUAGUGCUAUAAGCUCUACUGUUAUAAGCUCUAUUUAAUAAGCUGUACCAAACGGAGCCUUAUUCCAUUAAUGCAGUUUGAGAUGACAUUUUAUAUUAGGUUAUUGUUAUGUUGGAAUUCACAUACGGUAAAGUAUGAAUUUUAAUCACACGUAAAAUAAUAAAUAGUAAAAAAACUAAUUCAUUCUUUAUUAUUUAUCACUUUACGUAUAUGACUGAGAUUCACGCUAUACUAUAAGUGAACUCCAACAUAAUCGAACUCUUUAUAUUAUUAUUGCACGUUUUGUGCAACUGAUUUUUUUUUAACUUAAAAAAUAAUUGAUGUAGGUCUCGCCGUAUUAAUUUGCACAAUAAAAUUUGCAAAAAUAAUUUAUAUUAGUACUCUAUAUUUGUCCAGUAGCCAAUGAGCUUAUUCAUGAACUUCAGCUCAAGUGCUCAACCAUCUUGUAAUGUGCGAAAAUAACCUUGCUUUGUCUAUAAGCAAAGCUAGUGGCACACUCGUCACUCCCUACUUUAGACAGGUUAUACCAAGUUGGUAAAGUAGCUUUUAACUUGUUAACCAGGAAAAUGGACGUAGCCCACUACUGGGCCUAAAGCGUGACCAGCCCAGUCAACCAGCACCAAAAUAAAGCUGAAACAAAAGAAAAAUAUAAGCAAAACAAAAACAGGUGUUGGUGCCUGAUGCCUCUAUAAUGAUAAUAAUAAUAAUAAAAUAGCAGAGAGAGAGUGAAGAGAGAAGAUAUGGCUGAAAUUUUAUCCUUUCAUUCAUCUCAGAGGGAGGGACGAAAGGUAACGAUUUACAGGGUAGCAACAUUUUGUCAUAUUCUCAACAAACAAAAAACAACAGCUAUCAACAGCUAUUCAUCUUCCUCUUCCUCUACUCUGAGUCUGAGUCCAUGUUACCCAUAGCCUUCAAUCCUCUCGGUCUCUGCAUCAGAUUAGAUCCCCGAUACAAACAUUAUGCUCCAUUAAUUUUUAAUGAAAAUGCUUCUCCAAUUGGGGAGUUGUAAUACAAAAAGUACCUUCUUGGAGAUUUUCUUCUCUCUAACUUCAUAACGUUCAAGGGUCAGGUCACAUAGCCAUGCACCAGGACUUACCAGCUGCAAAGAAAAACAUAAACUCAAUGCAACUUUGGCCUUUAAUUUCAGAUUUUGAUUUUGAUUGGGAAGCAAUAAAGAGAGAUUCCUGUGCUUUUUUAAAACAGUUAUGAUUUCAAUUAAUUUGUAAAAAAAAAUAAUUCUACCAUAAGCAAGAAGAUACUUGCAACUUCAAAAAGAAAAAAACUACUUGCAAAAAGAAUCGUCUACAAGUCGUGCGUUUAAGAAAAUUAUGGACGAAAAAUUUCGUGCAAUCUUUGCUUUCCACGCACUGUCAGUGUGGUCCAGCUUGGAGGACCACUACAAGAGUCACGAAACCACCUCCAUUGUUUAUUAUAAAUUAUUCUUAAAUAUUAUUUCAAUAAAGAGAAAAUUAAUCAUUAAAAACUAUUAGAGACAAGAAAAGUUAAUUCACCAAAAAGCAAUGUCCAUAUUACGGAAAUGCCCCACAAUAAUGGGCAAAGGGCCCAUCCGCUUCCGUCGGUUAAACUUUUACGAAGAAUAUUAUUACCUUUGGUGAGUAUUUGGCCCUUACUUCGUUGAUAAGUUUUAGUGUUGUCUAUUGAAUCGCUAUCGUACACGUGUUGCAGAUUGAUCCCUCCAUCUCAAUCUGAAACACUCAUAAUUUUUAAAAGUUCAAACCAAGAGAAAAAUACAGUUUCCAGCUCCGUACUACCACGUCCUUGUUGACCCCACGUACCACGUUUAAGGCAUUCUGUUACCCCUCAGAUUCUUGUAAAAUGAUAAACCCACGAAUGAUUUUAUAAUUUAUACAAAUUAAUAACGGAUAAAAAUUAGCUAAAAAUAAUAAUAAUAAUUAAUUUUUAAUUAUAUAAACCCAUAAUAAUUUUAUAUAACUAAUUCCCUCACGUCACUUCGAUUUAUAUACACUUACUCAUAGAAGGUAAUUAUAACUCUAUUAUUACUCAUUUUUAUAUAUCCAACAUUUUCAACGCUUUCUUUAAAAAAAAAAAAAAAGAACUCCCCGUAGCCAAGAAAAGUAAAAUAAAUUCAAAAUUGCGGUAUUACCGUGAUAAUCUCUUACGGUAAAAUCUUGACUUAAGUAACUCUUAUUGGUCGUAAGAAUAUUUGAUUUUGAUAAAUUGGAACAUCAACAUCAAAAAAAUCAAAAACAGAAAAAACUUAAUGACAACUCAAUUGUCUCUUGUUAUUCAAUUAUCUCCCCCACGAAGUAAAGUAUGAAUUACUACAUUACGGAAUGCCACAUUAUUUAGAAUAAUUUUUAAAAACAAAAGAUUUAAAAUAUGUACCAUUACUUUAAUGAAAUUUUCCGACUAAAUCAAGAGAAAUUUGAUUAUCAAAGCACAAAACUCGGGCAAGGGUAAUAUUCCCACCCCAGAUUUUUGUUAAUUUAUUCUACAUCCCGCACCCAAACCAGGACUCGGUCACUGGGAGGCUAACGUUACUACAGGUCAUUUUUAGGUACACGUCCACGCCUUUACCGACACGUGGACAUGUAUAUCUCACUUGUCACUUUACACACAGCCCUAUUUUUAAGCCAAAACAAAAAUUGAAGAUUAAUAAAAAAAUAAUAAUAAAGUAGAUCAUAGUUUCACAUAAAUCAGGGUCCGACCCAGCAACCAUAUUUGUAGUAACAGCUACAUUCUUAAAAACCGUGUCCCAUCCCAAAAUAUCAUCAAAAGGCCGCAAGAGAUCUAUUGUACCUUGUGCUCCUAAAUGUUGUACCCCAAUAAAAUAUUCCUACAGAUGAUUAUUCACGAUAAUUAAAUUGCAACUAGAAUCAAAUUCAUUAAAUCUAAAUUCUAAAAUAACUAAAACAACAUCGUAGAUAAGUCUAGAUAUCAUGAAAGAUUAAACAAGGAAAGAAUAAGAAAAGCUUACAUUGACUGUGCGUUGAAUAAACUUUGCUCUCUUUUUGGGUCUCUGUGGCAGCUUAGACCCUUUAAUGGCCAUGAAAUCUUCCUCUUUCUCUUUGUUGGUUAAAGCAAUCACAAAUUUCGGGGGCCACACGGGUGGCGCCGCCUCGCCACUAGCGGAAGAGGAUCCACCUUUCUUGCUAUCAUGAGCUGUUUCCGAUGAUGCCCCUGAUUUGUUAUAAUCAUUGUUGUGGUGGUUGUGAUUGUUGUUACGGGUACCUCUCUUAUCGUGCGCACCCCUAUCUGGUGAAGCAAAACCUCUCACACCACCGUUGCUUUGGCCUCUCAUGGCACUUGAAUUCUCAGAGUUCCUAACAAACAAUACACACAUAACAACCCAUCAAUUAACUGGACAUAACAUGUGAAAUAAAAAUGAAAUUUAAUACAGUUAGUAGAGUGCUAUGGAAAAAGUGAAAAAAGUGAUGUGCUGAAGUGAAUUUUGAUGUAAGUACGAAAAUAGCCUUGGGAGUGAUCUAGUAAAGUCGGGCUAAAUUUGAGAAGAAAGUCAUAUACGGUGGGUUCUUUUUUCUUUUGGCUUCUUUGGAGAGACUUUGGAUUGCGCUUUUUAAAUAAAUAGGAAGUGUUGUUAUUUGCUAACUUUGGCUGCCAUGAGAAAAAUAGUUUUGAUUCUAAUCUCGAUCUAACGAGCACAGCUGGUCUUAUGGGCGGUUUGUAGGCCGUUGGAUUCAUUUUCCUUUUCUAAGGUAUGGGCUACGUGUUGAUGGAUGGGUUGGUAUGUAGGAUAAAGUGGACCAGAUUCCUAAUACAAUUGCAAUCGACGGCUGAAAAUUUGUUGAGAUUAGACUUGGGUAUCAUUGGACACGUGGCAGGAACUUGCUAAUUCCAUGUUUCCUAGUUCCAAGUUCCAACGAGUCCACCAUGUGAGGACGCUUUGGCAGCGUUAUAGGCUAAAAUCAGGCGUGAUGAACUCAAGACAAGUUGGCUACCCUCUAGGCAAAUGCAAAAGGUCAAGAGUAGCACAAUUGAGUAAGAAGAGUAGUUUGAUUAGGAAUGCUAAUCAACCUAAUCUUCUUUUGCACAACUUUGAACAAAAUCAGUCCAAUAAGAUUGCAAUAUAGAAAAAGAAAAGAAUAAAACAUAAAUUGUGAGACUUAACUAUCUUCAAAUCAUCACUAUUCAAAAUCUCAAAUUACCCACAUUUUUAUUCAAAAAAAUAAAGGAAAAAUGUGAGUUGAUCAGUUUAUUUUUAUCUUCUACAAAAGAAGCAAAUUGAGAUUUUAAAAAAUAAAAAGAUGAUCUAAAGAAUGUCAAUUCAUAAGGAGAACAAUAAAAAAAAACCCAUAUAAAACUACAAUUAGCAGCUGCAAAUCAGUCAAGUAACAAAGCAAAGAUUACGGCCAAUUUCCCAAUUAAGAAUGUAAACGUAAUAUUGGGAGAAUGCACCAUCUAAAACUCCACCAAUUAUAUGCUAAAAUCUAGAAACUAAUCAAAUUUAUAAAUAAAUGAAACUAUCCCCAAAUCUCAAGUGCAUUAUCUAUAGAUCACACACUUCAAACUCGACUAUUAGAUUCUAAGGAUCGUGAAAUGACAUGAGCAACCCACUUUAGCAAGACUCAAAUCCUAGAAACUAAAGCAAUAGUAAAUAUAAGGACACCCUGACCUUAUGAACUCACCAUCAGGCAUCAGCUCUCCUGAGUUCUGAUUUGCACCAACCUGACCAAUUAGUGAAUGGACAAGUAUAAGCCUCAUAAGUAAGUACUCAGCCCGGAUUUUGGAAGUUUAAAAGUUCAUCUUGUAAUGAACAAGUAGAUCCAACUAACCUCCACUUCAGCAAAAGCAAAAUAAUUUGAUGCUGAAAUGUUAUUAGGCAUCAAGAUUCAGACGCCAGCUCGGUAUUCAUAUGAUAUUAUCUAUUCCUGGAACAGUCCACUCCACUACCAGAAAUAGACAAAUGUAUCAAACCAUAGUACAAUACCAAGGGACAUACUAUCCCAGACUAUGAACUAAUUAUUUCCAAUUUUAUAAAAACAAGCAUAAAGGCUGCAAUUGGAAUUUAAAAUAUAAUAAUAAUAUCAGCAGAAAUGCAGAAUGACUCCGGGCUUACUGAUAUUACACAAACUAAUUAUGUCGACAAUGACCAUGUACCAACAGCUACUAAUGACUAAAGGUGAUCCAAAUUCAUGCUAUUACUGAAAAGGGCAACUAUCUUUCUUCAACAUUAAUUUAACAUAAACACCAAUUCAAUUGAAGAAGAAAAUAGAAUUCAGCACGGUAAAACAUAUUUCUUGCGGCAGAAAACCAUUAAUUAAAGAUAAAGGGUAAAAAGGGGCCCAUCAAAGAGAGCAGAUCGAAAUCUUUUUCCGCGCCAAUGUGGAUUAUAGAAAUCGAACAAUAAAGGAGCUAACACUAAACUGCGAACACGGACACAAAGCGCGUCACGGGCCCACGCGCAACCCAUUCAAUUAUCUAAACGUCAUACACCCAACACUACAGUUGCCUCGCAAACACCAGCGAAGGUUCAGGCUCAGGCCCUCAGCGCGAACAACCCCACAGCUAAAAACAAGAUCCACCAUCUCAGCCGACAGUGUUUAAUACGCGCCGUAAGCAUAAGCAUACAAAUCUCUGUAUUUAUUCAAACAUAAAAUCAAACAAACGAUGAUACAGAGUUAUUACCUGAGCACACGCUGAGGUGGCGGUGGCGGUGGCGGAGGCGGAGAUGGCCGUCGACGGAGAUUAAAAUAACCGUUACCAAUAUUAUGGUUAGCGGUGGCAGUACUCGGCUGAUUGGACGUGUCUUUGUCGGUUCUUACGACUCGAACCGUCGUCCGAUGGGCCGAAGCGGACGAAUCGUCUUUGACUUGAACUUUCAUGCACCGGAGUCGCUUCCUGUUCCCCCACUGUAAGACGAAAUCAGACGACGCCGUUUGCCUAGUGUUGAUCUCUGAGCUAGCUCUUAAUAAUCCCCCAUCUUUGCAAGUGCUCCCAUUAUUACCGCUUCUCAACAAGUCCUUAUCCAUCUCCUUUCGCAAACCUGUCCCAUUCAGAUGAGUUAAUUACAAUUACUCAUCCUAAAUUACGGUUAACUUCCAGAAUUAUACUAAAAAAGAAAAACAAAAUGAACAAUUUGGAUACGGCUUCGGCUUUCCGGCAAAUUCCACGCCAUUUAAAACGAAUGAUUAAAAUUAAAAUUUUAAAGUAACGGUUACGAAUUUUCCCAAAUUUUGAGAAGAAAAGUAGGCUUACCAUAAGAAUCACAUAUAUUAAAAUGCAACAAAAAUAUUGAAUACUGAGGAAGACCGAAGACUGGAAGAGGAAGAUCCGACAGCCAAGGAUUUUUCAAAAUGAAAAAAUGCAGAAUUCUCCACCGAGUGAUGCUGUAAUAGUCAUCAGCAGUGAAAAUGAGAAUUUUAAUUCAAAAAUAGAGCACAGACGUACUCACUCCAGAGGAUCUGACGAAGAAUACGCAUAGAAAACGGAGAAAAAAUUUCUCAAGCUCCAUGCUUUUGCUCGGCUGCCGAGAAAAUGUUCGAAAAAGAAAAUAAAGAAGGAUCGUGAAUUGCAACAAUCAGAACCAAUUCGUUGGUUCUAGAGAUCAAUUCGAGAAUGGAAAGAAGUUCUGAGAUGUUAUUUUUCUCUCUGCUUUCUUUCUCAGUAACCAAACGUAGGUAAUUUGAGAAAAAUCUGAGAAGCAGCCACAGCUAAAACUCAAAAUAAGACGAGACUGACAAAAAUUUUAAAGCUCGAAUAAGACGAGACUGAGAGAUGGUCAAAAGAACAAAAAUCAAAACGAAAAAAUAUUUCAUCAAUAACAAGUCAAGAUUUUCAUGGAACUGAAAUUUCUUGCAGACGCUAAUGAUGAAUUCUCGCCAGAGCCAAACAGCUGAAAAAACGAGAAUCGGAGUCGAACUUAAGUAUAAGCUUCGUAAUAAGAAGCAAGUGGAAACCGAUUCAAAACUGAAAUGAAAGAGAACCGGUCCCCAGUUAAAUCGACGAGAUGAAAAUCGAUAUGCUUGUUUUUUAUACCUCCAAUAUCUCAAAUUCGCCGAUAUUUUGCUUCUUUCAGUCGGCAGAAUACAAAUCGAAUGUAUAUCAGCUUCUCAACGAAAUGAUUGGCAUUUCAAAGACUUGAAAAUCUCCUGCUCUAAUGAGAGAUUAUGAUCUUCCCCUUACAGAAAUUUCUCUAUUCUCUUAAGAAAUGUAUCUGCAAAAUAAAUAAAAUGAUUAUAUCAGAGGAUGAAUUAUACGGAAUUAACACUAAGCCAACUGAACCAUGUCGUCUUUUGUCAUUUUGAAUUUGUCUGUAAACUAAAGCAUGAACCAAACAACAAUUAUACCGGCCAAAUUUUUUAAAUUGAUCUUAAUAAUGAAAAACAAAAGUGUGUUGGUAAUACACACCUCUAAAUCUCCUCUCUCUCUCUCUCUAUUGGAUUCAGAUUCUCAACAUUCCGUUAUCAAAUUCUCGUCAAUUCUCAGCCAAAGUAGUCUGUUUGGCUUCUGAGAAAACGAAAGAAAGUGAAUGAAAAUUCGCAGAGAAACCAGAGAGAGAACAAAGAACACAAACAAAGUGCUCUCCUUCCUUCUUCUGAUAAACGAAAUUCUCUCUCCCUUUUAAAACCAGUUUUAUACCCCUCAUUCAUACUCUCGGUUCCACACCGAGCAUUCGUGACCAUCAAUCAGCAAUCAAACGGUCCCGAUUACUCCUCCUUUGAACCGUCGACUCCCGUCUAUCAUCAAGUUAGCAUGCGCCCGUGGCAAAUUUUUAUCACCUCACGGACUUCAUCAAUCUAACGGAAUCUUUAACGACGUUGAAUUUUUGUUGAAUUAUAUCAUUAUUUAUUCUGAUAUGUUUUCUAUUAUUUUAUUGUUGCAAUUUUAUUUUUUUUAAUGCCGGUGUGGUGGCGCUUAUUAUUAGAGAGUAUUGAGUUACAUUCAAUAAGGUUAGUUAAUCACGUGACUGAUCAAACCACGGUUAUUUUUUUAUUAUUAGUUUAUUGUUGAAUUUUUUUUUUUCAAGCCGGCGUGGGGGCGCUCAUUAUUAGAGCAUCGCAGUACCAGUUGGGUUAGUUAAUCACGUGAGUGAACUAACCAUGGUUUAAUUUUAACCAGACCUCUGAGUCUAGCGAUAGGUAUAAGGGCAAUUUUGGUAUUUUAUCGCGAUAAAUAACAUUUAAACAACAAUAAUAAAAUGACCUGCACGUGUUCUAAUGUUCUCUUACCUUAUUUUAUUUUUAAUGACGCAGUCAUUAUUCACGGUGGUCAUUUAUAAUAAUUUUGUCAUUUUUCUAAUGCUAAGGUCAUUUUUAUAGGUAAUGUAGUUGCUUUAAUUUUUAAUGGUCAUUUUUGGUGGUAUAUACAUUUUUAUUAAUCGGACCAUUUUAGUGAUAUGAUCUCAAAGUUGCUUUCGAUUUUUUAAUGUGUUCGCUUAAAAUGGAGUAAUGAUACAUUUAUAAAUUUUUAUAUUAAUUAUUUUAUAUUAAUUUUGUAAUAUAAUUGGUUGAAUGAAACCAACACAUUGUCCACAUGAUUUAUCUUUAUUAUCUUAUAUCUUCACUCAACCAAUGAUGUUAUACCAUAUCAAUUUGUAUAAAAAUUGCUUAUAUAAGAAUUUAUAACUCUAUUAUUAUUCUUUAAAGUUACAUUUUAAUGUCUUUAAUUUUUUAUUUUCUUGGCAAUGAUCCCGUGGUAAGAUUGGUCAAUCACUCUUCUCCUUAAUAUUAAAGUGGAGAGUUUGAGUAUUCUCAUGUAGUUGUGAGAGUAUAAUAUGUUUGGACUUUUAUUGUAUUAAAAAAAAUUUCCUUCAAUUAAAAAAAAUAUAUAUUUUCCUCAAAAAUUGAAAGGGAUGCAUGCAUUUUUCAACGAGACAUUUUUUUAUAAAAUCCCUUAACAAAUACACAAACUUUGCAAAUUAAUUGCGUAUAAGAUCGAAGUUAAAAAAUAAAUAACUAAAUAAAAUUGUUUAAUGUUACAAAUGCAAAUAUACUUCUUGUCUUUGAUCUUAUUAUGUUAAUUUAUAUUUUAACACUUUAUUAUGCAGCAACGGCCCGACUAUCUAAUAAAAAGGGCAAAUAACCUUAUAUUCAUAGUAUUUGUACUGAGCUAUUCUGGAUAGUUAUGAGAAGCAUCUACUGUUAUUGAAGCAAGAUUUCAAGAUUGGUCAUGUUUCUAAUUGGAAAAUGUAUGAUUCUAAAGAGUGUAAUACUGCGUUUAGACUUUAUUUUUCUUUCCUUCAAUUAAAAAAGAAAAAAAAAGAUUGUUUUCCUCAAAAAGUGAAAGGGAAACAUACAUUUUCCAAUUAAAUAUUUUUAUAAAAUCCCUCAAGGUCUUAACAAGUACACAAACUUUAGCAAAUAAAAUUGUUUAAUGGUACAAAUGCAUAUAUAGUUCUUGUCUUUGAUCUUAUUAUGUUAAUUCAUAUUUUUUAACAUUUAAUUAUGCAUCAAAGGCUUCACUAUCUAGUAACAAGGACAAAUAACCUCGUAUUCAUUGUAUUUGUAUUAAGCUAUUUUGAAUAAUUAUAAGAAGUAUCUAUUGUUAAUUUAGUAAGAUUUCAAGAUUGACCAUGUUUCUAAAAAUUAUAAUAGAGCAGUUGAUGCUUUGGUUAAAAAUCACAUUUAGGUAUUAUUAUUAUUAUCUUAUACAGGUGAAGAUUUUCUACAACAUUUAACUUGUUUAUUUUGAAAUUUUGUCUUGCAAUAAUGAGAAUCUAUUUGGGGAAAAAAAACACCUUGUAUUUAACUUGUAUUUUUUUUUUUCCAUUUUUGGAUGAGUUGUUAGAUUUGAAACAAUCUAAUUUAACGAGCAUGGAUGAAAAGAGUAAAUACAUUAUUGAAGUGGGUUACCGUCUUAGUCGGUCAAGCAUAUAUCUUUAUUAUUAUUAUUAUUAUUAUUAUUAUUAUUAUUAGAGUUAUUAUCGUUUUACUACUUCAAAAAUUACCAAAUAUCAAAUGAUUAUAACAAGUAUUAUCUCCUAUCAUUUUCUUAUUAUAUCUUUAUAAAAAUAUCAUUUUACUACUUUUCCAUUACAACCGUUAGUUGACCCGUUAGUUAACCAGUUAGUUGACUAACAAAAUACUAAUUUUACCCUUCAUAAUUAAAAAAUAAUAAUAAGAUAAAUUUGUAAUCCAUAUAUCAUAAUUCUAACUAAAAUAAUUAUGCUGGUAUUUUAUAUCCAUUUUAAUAAAUAUAUUACAAAUUUAUUUUAUAAAUAAGUUUUUCAAGUAUUUUUUUUAAUCAUAAAUGAUGAAAUUAAUAUUUUGUUAGUCAACUAAUGGUUAUAAUGGAAACGUAGUAAAAUAAUAUUUUUAUAAAGAUAUAAUAAGAAAAUAAUAAAAGAUAAUACUUAUUGUAGUCAUUUGAUAUUUGAUAAUUUUUUAAGUAAUAAAAUAAUAAUAACUCUUAUUAUUAUUAUUAUUAUAUUGGAGCAUAGGAUCAUAGAUCUUAAAGUUUGAUUUUUAUUAAUCCAAUUUCUGCAACGUUUGUUGCAAGGCUCUGCGAUAUCAAUAGAUAAAAUGCUUGAUUCGUACGUCCUUUUUUUUUUUUUUUUCCGCUUACAGUACUGCAGAAGUAGUUUCCUCAACUGUUCUGGCUGUCUCUCUUAACCUCACGGUGUUUCCUUUGCCAAUUUGCUCUUUUAUUUACGGUCGAUUCUGUCACUUUCUCCAUUAACUAGCAUCACGUGGCUAUUUUUGGGCCUUUGGAUUUGUGCUUCAAAUUCAACGGCUUUGACGUGGCCUAUGCAACAAUGCCUAAAAUAAUGUCGGUGUGUGGUCAAUUUGUCACCUUAUCUAGUCCAUGUAGUAUGUACAAGAGCUGAUCACUUGACGGAAAAUAAAGAGAUUGUUCAUUCAUUUGUUAUGGCCAUCCAAGUAAUUUCCUUGAAAGCCAAUUAGGCAAUAAUUUUUUUUAAUGAGUGUUCAAAAUAAUUUUAAAGUGUCAAAAUAUAAAUAUAUUUAUAAAGUUAGAAUAUAAAAUUUGAAUUUCAAUUAAUAUGAUAGUAAAUACAAAUUCACUAUCUUAUAUAUCUAUCUAUCUAUAUCUAUAUAUCUAUCUAUCUAUAUAAAGUUGGGACUUGAGUAGGUGAUGUGGCAUCACCAUUUCUUAUCUUUGUAUAUUCUCUAUUAUCUAAUAAAUAGAGAAAUUUUUCUUUUAGAUUUGACUUUUCAUCUUCUCAUAAUUAAUUUGAUUAUUAUUACACAAUAACAAUUAUGUAAAAAUUUUAAUGAGACAUAUUCUUUGUAAUGAACAUCCAAGGGGAGUGUUAUGAAUUGAUUAAAAUAAAUAUAGAUGUUCAUAACAUAUAUCUCUUAGUCUCCUUACUAUCUCCCAUUAACAACCUUUAGCUUCCCUAUAACUCCCACUAUCUCACAAGGAAUUAUGAUCCAUAAUUUUUCAUUAAUUUCAUGAAGUGAUUAUGUAACUAUAAAAAGAAAGCUCAUCUUUUUGUUUUGUACACACACAAUUGGAAUGAAUAAAAUCACUCUAUAAUAUAUUCUCUCAUUUUAUUUUUUAUCUUGUGUUACUUCUUUAUUUGUAUUGUUGGCUAAUAGCUUUUUUUGUUUUUUAUAAGGUUGCCUCAUCUUAAAAAAAAUCAAUUCAUAUUUUUUAUCAGUUUCAGCAAGUGUAAAGUAAGAAAAAAUGAUCAUACUAAAUUCUUUUUUCAAAACCGCGUGAAAACGCGGUUCUAUUUUCUAUAUAUAUAUAAAGUUGGGACUUGAGGAGGUGAUGUGGCGUCACCAUUUCUCAUAUUUGUGUAUUCUCUAUUAUCUAAUAAAUAGAGAAAUUUUAUUUUAGAUUUGACUUUUCAUCUUCUCAUAAUUAAUUUGAUUGUUAUUACACAAUGACAAUUAUGUAAAGAUUUUAAUGAAGCAUAUUCUUUGUAAUGAACAUCCAAGGGGAAAUGUUAUGAAUUUAUUAAAAUAAAUGUAGAUGUUCAUAACAUAUAUCUCUUAGUCUCCCCACUAUCUCCCAUUAACAACCUUUAGCUUCCCUAUAACUCCCACUAUCUCACAAUGAAUUAUGAUCCAUAAUUUUUCAUUAAUUUCAUGGAGUGAUUAUGUAACUAUAAAAGGAGAGCUCAUCUUUUUGUUUUGUACACACACAAUUGGAAUGAAUAAAAUCACUCUAUAAUAUAUUCUCUCAUUUUAUUAUUUAUCUUGCGUUGCUUCUUUAUUUGUAUUGCUAGCUAAUAGCUUUUUUUAUUUUUUAUAAGGCUGACUCAUCUUUAAAAAAAAUCAAUUCAUAUUUUUUAUCAGUUUCAUCAAGUGUAAAGUAAGAAAAAAUGAUCCUACUAAAUUCUUUUUUUAAAGCAGCGUAAAGCGCGGUUCUAUUUUAUAGUUAAGAUAAUAAUUGAUAAGAAUUAAUAAGGAAAAUUGUCAAUUUUCUUACACUGAAAUCAAUAUCUAUCACUUACUCCCUAUUAUUUUCAUAAUACCUAAUAACUCCCUGGUACUAUAAUUUUACAAUAUAAUCCUUAUUUUCAAGUACACUUUAUUGAUUUAACUAUAAACUGAAUAAAUCAUAUAAAUUGAAAAUAGAAUAAAAGAUUUAAAUACUAAAAAUAAGAAAUAUAAGUUUAAGUAUGAAUAAAAAAUUAAUAAUAAGAUAUUUUUUUUAUACUUUUUGUUAAUUUAAAAAAAAUUCUAAUAACCAUUAUUUAAUAUUUUAAGAUAAAAUAUCAAAUAAAUAACUCAUUUAUAUCUAUUUUCGCUUAAAUUUUUGUGCUCACAGAUCUUUGAAUACUAUAAAUAUAAUUGAAAACAAGUGAUAUAUAUUGAUUUAAAUAAGCAGAAAAUUGCCAAACUCUGAGUUAAUAAUCCAUUAUCAAAUGACCUCACGAAAUAAAAUCAUAUCAUCUACCACAUCAUCACUUUGAAUGCAAACUUUAUAUUGCCCCCAUGUAAGCUUAUUACUUAUUAUAAUUGUUUAUAAUACCUCUACAAGCUCAUGAAUGAUAAAAAGUCAUAUGUAAUGAAUAAAGUUGAGAUUUUGAAAGUUCAAAGCAUCAAAUUUUAUUCCUAAAGCCUAAGUGAUCAUUUGCUUAAUCAAUAACACCAUGUAUCGCGCAUGUUUUUUUUUUAUUAAACUUAAAAAUAACAUUUUUUUCUAAAAUUAUUAAUACGUACUAAUAUUUACAUCAUAUAUUGGAUAUAUGCUCUACUCAAUACUCACCAUUUAAUAGAAUAGAAGCUUAUUUUUACUCAAUUUUUAAUUGGGAAUAAAAGUCUUUUCUGGUGACUUAAAUUACAGCUCUUAGACAUCUGUUCUACAUUUAAUUAACAGGAGAGAUUCUAAUAUAUACCCAAUUUUUAAUUAGAAGAAGAAAUAGAAAUCUGCUAUAAGAACUUAAAUCGCAGCUCUCACAAUGGUUACUUGUGAGAGUUGCAGUUUACCACUCAACUAUUUUAACAGAGUGCUUUGAAAAUACCAUCUGAUAUAUCUAACACAAAGAACUUAAUAUAAUACACGCUGUCAUACAUGUUAUGGCAUGCGUGGCAAGCUCCCAUUAAGGAAGCUCUACUGUAGCUCCAAGGCCCCUAAUAAGAACUCAUCAUUAACAUACUAGCCAAUCGCACACUAUAAUAACGUACGCGAGGGCGUGCAGAAGAUCAGCUUGCUUUAAAAUUGUUCAUAACAACAACAAUACUUUAUGAGAUUACAAUCACAUAAAAAGACAAGCCAAAACAAAACAAAACAAGACCGACAUGAAAGUAAUGUCGGUGUUCCGAUUACUUAGACCGCUCUAUAUUACGAUUUAUAGAUUAUGUAAAUCUGUAUUAAAGGGGAAAAUAAAGGGAAAAAAAGAAAAGAAAUGGUCUAUGUAGUACUAUCUAAAGGUCUAUAUCAAUCACUAAUGGUCUUUGAUUCAAUGAAAGAAAUCUUGUACUUAUAAUGUCAAGUGCAAAGAUUCGAGUUUUCAUAAGAGCAUUAUGAAAGUUAGUUUCAGUUUUUUCUUAAUUAUCAACUAAUUGAGUGGAGAUAGUCUAUUCCUUACAAAAUAUGAGUGAAGUAGGUAUCCAUCGAAUAUUAGAGAGUGUUUAAAGUAUUUGGACAAAUAUUUUAGUGGGUUAAUGUAUAAUGAUGAUCCCCGUAGUUUAGUAUGAUUAUAAAUAUAAUAAUUAUAAUAUUUAAUGUAAUAUCAGUAACAAUAUCUAUAUAACAUAAUAAAAAAAAAAGUUCUAUAUCAAUCAAUGGGACGAUAUUUAUUUAAUCCAGAUAAAAACGGAUUCAAAAAGUUGAGGUCAAAGGCAUAAACAUCCUUCAUAUCUAAGAUUUCAUUGGCCUCGAAUGGAGGACAUUAUUGUCAAAUCAAAUUGUCCCUACAAGCACUAAUCGAUCAGGUUAGGGUUUCGCUCUUACUCUGAAUUGACGAAACGAAGAAUCACCGAGUUAAGGGGAAAGAAGAUAACACUAAAUCAAUCAGAUAUCACGUUUCAUAUCAACCGAUUAAUCACUGGUGCGUUUUGUUUUCUUUCCAAUUGUUCUAUUCUCGUGCUUUUAUUUGUGAGAUUUUUUUUUCUCCGAUCGAAAUAUCAUAUGCAUCGGGAUCUUGAAAUUCAAGAUCUAUAAAUUCAUUUUUGCUGAAGAUUGAGAAUUGUUUUGUAUUUUCCUUAGAUGUAUAACGGAAUCGGCUUACAGACCCCGAGGGGGUCCGGAACCAACGGAUACAUACAAACGAACAAGUUUUUUGUGAAGGCCAAAACAGGUCGGGUUACAGACAGCGUCAAGGGAUUCGAAGCGGGUCAGGGAACGGCUGGAGUCACCAGAAAACCGAACCAGGAGAUCCUCGAGCAUGAGCGUAAGCGCCAGAUUCAACUCAAAUUGGUGGUGCUCGAAGACAAACUCGUUGAUCAGGGUUACACUGAGGCUGAAAUCGCUGAGAAGCUUGAGGAGGCUCGUAAGACUCUUGAAGUUGCCUCAGCUUCAGCGGAAAGUGGUGGGCAUGCCGCUGAUGCAAAGUAAGUAAUUCUUGCUAUGAAUAAUAAGAUACAUACAAAUUUUCAUUCUUGAGGUGACAUGAUAUGAUUGGAAGAGUGAAAAAUAACAAGUACAGUUCAAGUACUCAUACCACUUCAGUUUGUAGAGAUGUCUUUUUGUAGACAUUUUUUCAUGUGUGUAACUUUUAAGCGUGUCAGUUUUAUUUAUUUUCACUGCUAUAAAUACUGUGAAUGGUUAGUUUUCUUGUACGUUGUUUUAUAUGUGUGAUAAAGCAAUUGGUAUGUUUUUAGUAUGUGCUGCUUGUGUUUGAAGUUUGAAGCAUGUAUAAUUAGGGAACCUGCAAUUUUGCCUCUCCUUUCGGCUGCAAGGGGAUUGUUGAAUCACUUCCUUGAUGGCUUUGUUCUGGAGGCAUAUAUGUAAUUCAGAAUGGGAUUCAUUAAAGGGGAAUUAAUUUUUUUCUAAUUUCCCUUACUCUUUUUUCUUGGAAAUUCCUUCGUCUUUGUAAUAGUUGUUCCAUUUUCAGGUUUAUUUUACACUUGAGAUUUCUGUUACCCGAGUUAUUUUACAUGAUUAAUCAUGUCUUCUCACUAGGAAAUUUUUGUAUAGGUUACCUAGGAAUUAACUUCUAAUUUUCUCCUUGCUUGUUCAGGGUAUCAGAAACAGAGACCCAUAAAAUUGCUGCUAGAAAGGAGAAACAAAUGGAAAUGUUUAGAGCUGCACUUGGUAUAGGUACGAUUGAAGCUAGUGAACAAGGGGCUGAAGGAAGUGAUGUUGCACCAAGAAAUGGUCGAAAGAAUGCUUCCAAUGAUGACGGUAAGUGGCAUGAGAAAAGCGAACAUGCCUUUUUGGAUAGAGAGAAUGUUCGGAAGAGACAUGUGAUAGAAGAGGGGGAAAUUGUGGAGGACGAUCAGAAAAAGACUGUUAAAGAUGAGAAAAUUAAGAAGGAUGAGACCAGGCACCAUAAGGGUAAUGGCAGAAAGAGAAGACAUGGAGACGAUUCUUCUGAUUCUGAUAGCAGCAGUAAGCAUGCAAGAAGGAUACCCAAGAAGAAUCGUAAGGUUAGCCAGAGGAGUGAGAGUGAAAGUGACAGUGACAGUGAUAGUGAAAGCCCUAAGAAAAGGAGGAACUCUUCAAAGAAGCACAAGAAAAGCAGACAACAUUCUAGUGAUGGUUCAGAUAAUUCUUCUUCUGAUGACGCUGGUAGCAGUAAGUAUGCAAGAGCGAUGCCAAAGAAGAAUCGUAAGGUUAGCCUGAGUAGUGAUAGUGAAAGUGACAGUGACAGUGAUGGUGAAAGCCCUAAGAAAAGGAGGAACUCUUCGAAGAAGCACAAGAAAAGCAGAAAACAUUCUAGUGAUAGUUCAGAUUAUUCUUCUUCUGAUGACACUGGUAAGGUUAGUUCCAUGAAGGAAGUUGAGAAAUAUGGAAAAAGUCAUAGGAGACAUGAUUCGGAUGAUGGUUCUGAUUUUGAUGAAGAUUCAUCUAAGCACAGGACUCGGAAGGGGAGUAGGCAUGUGAAAGCAAGUGUACGUCAUGAUUCUGAGGAUGAUUUCGAUAAUGGUAUUGGUAUGGAAAAGGAUAAAAGUCAUCUUGAGAAAAGGGGCAAUCAGCUGGGUGGAAGCCGCAGAGGGGAGCGACAAAAUUUUGACUUAAGGUCUCACCAAAAGAGCAACUAUGAUAGUUAUGGGAAAAACAGGCAAGGCUAUGAUGUUGAUGAUGCAGAUGUGAUAAAGAGGAGAUCGAGAAGGAAUGACACUGAUGAUGACAGUGGCAAUAAAAUUGAGAAGCGCAGGAUAAGUAGGAGGCAUAAUUCUGAUAAUGAAAACUCAGAUUCCAGCUAUGGGAGGAAAAAUUAUAAAGCAUCCCUUGGAAGGCCUGAAGCGAUCAAAAAUGAGUCUCCUUUGGACAAUAACAAUAGAAAUAGGAGUGAGUCUGACAAGGGAAGUGGUGACGGAGAUUCAGACAGCAGUGCAAGUGAUUACGGACGUAAGAAAAGUGGAAAGAACCGUGUGGGUGAAAACAGAACUGGAAGUGGAAAUGGUAUGAGUGGUAGAAGUGGACGGAGUGAUCAUGGGUACAGUCCUGCUGGAAGUGACAGGAAAAGAGAAAGAAAUGGUCGGAAAGAUGACGAUAUGUUAGACGCACUGAGGAAAUUAGAGGAGCGAAGUCUGUACCAGUAUGAAAGAGAUGCUGCAGAUAUGGGAAGGUCUACCUAUGAACAUCAGGAAAUGAGGAUGGCCAAGAGGAAGUAUGAUGAGGCAAACAGGGAGGAGCGACCAGAAGCAAGGUUAAGGAGUAGUAUUGUUGGGAAGGAUGCAAUGCACGAAGGCCAUCAUGCAGAUGCAAAACCGGAGUCUGAAUUGAACGCCAGACCACGUGGGAAUGAGGAUGGUCGUAGGGGGGAUGAUGAAGAUUCCAAAGAGCAUGCAGGGUUCAGAAGGCAAAACAUGGAUGAAGAGGAGGCUAGAGGGGGAAGGCAUCGGAGAGCUGAAGAACACAAAUAUGGAAGGCACGGAAAGGAUCAUGAAGAGCUGCAGCGAGAAAGUCAAAGGCAUGGAAGAGGGGAGGAAGAAGAGCGAGGAAGUCGAAGGCAUGGGAGAGGGGAGGAAGAAGAGCGAGGAAGUCGAAGGCUUGGAAGAGGGGAGGAAGAAGAGCGGCGUAGUCGAAGGCAUGGGAGAGGGGAGGAAGAAGAGAGGCGUAGUCAAAAGCAUGGCAGAGAGGAGGGAGAAGUGCAAGAAAGUAAGGGAAAUGAGCGGGACAAACAAGCGGAUUACUCCAAGAGAGUUAGAUAUGAUGAUUCUCGGUCAAGUGAGAGAAGGAGGUAUGCGUACAAGCAUGAAGAUGAUCGGGGCAGACGUUGAGACUGAAGCAGCUAUCUGAUAUCUGCUGUAUUGCUGGUGAGUUUAUUUCUGUUGUUGGAACUUACUUUUUUAUGCUUCUAUUGACGAAAAGGUUUUAAAUUUCUUUUAGAAAGUAAAUUGAGAUUUUACAAGUUGUUUUAUCUUUGUAUGUUUAAGCCUGUAAAUUCCAAUAAUUAGCAGUCUGUUAUUAUAAGUAUAGACAGACCUAAGCUAAUGUCUCCAGUUGCCUUUAUUAUCUCACAUAAAUUUGCAAUACAUAAUGGCAUGGGAAAUUGCUUUCGUAAUGCAGAGAAAGAAAAUGGAACCUGUAUGUUAUGCUGUUAAUUGAAAGGCAUGCUAACUACACAUAAAGCUUGGGUAUUUGUGAAUUUUAGCAUCUAAGCAUCUUGGAUUUGCAUAGACAUGCCUGAAUGACUAUGAUGGUGUGGCCUCUCUAGGUGUUUUCCGUCAGCCUACCUAGACUGAUUAACUUUUGUACAAAGAAUAAAAUUGAUGGCAGGAUAGAUUCAUGGCCACAUCUGAACUUAAAUUGUUAUUUAAUUUUAUUUUGUAUGCGUCUUUUAUGAAAACAAAGAUGAAAAUGAUUAAUACAAUAAUGCCAGGCAAAAACCUAUGAUUGUUUUAUUAUGCUACUUGCUCCCUCUGAUUGCCAGUAAAUCAGUUAUUACAGGCUUGCUAGAUCAAUGCUGACAAGAUAGGCAAUCUCCAAGCUAAACCAGCUUGCUGAAGUUAUGGAAGGGGGAAGUCCUGCUACAUGAAUUGGCAGAUAUGAUUGGUGGUGUUUGUGCGGCGUUCCCUCGUACAGGUUUAUGCAUUGUGAUGGGAGUAUUUGCAAUUUUGGUCUGGAUUUGUAUUUGCUCGGUUCGUGUUCUGGAAAACAUAUAUAGUAUAGUAGUCGGUAUAUCACAGUGUUAGAAGACCAUAAUUUACCUUUUGUAUUUCCGUGAAUGAAUUAUUACUUUGUUUUUGCCGCUGACUAGAUGAUCGACCCCUGUUUAUUUUAAUGUUUUAUAUCAAGGAUUUAUUAGGAAAAUAUUUAAGUCCUACAGGCAGAAACUCUGGGGAAGAGUUUCCGUUAAAAGAAGAUUGGGGUGUGAAUUUUGGUUUUGAAAUUUGUUUACGAAAGUGUGGAGGAUAGUUAUUUUGAUUUUCAAGAAGACGAAGGGGAAAACGAAGCUGAAGGAAGAAACGCAUGAUCCUAAGCCAACGUUAUCAGUUAAUGCAGCGGAGAAAUUUGUCUAAAAGACUCUUUUGAAAUGUCUGGCAAUAAUCACAUCCAUGACUUAAAAGUUGAAAGUAAUUUUCCUUUACAAUUUGUUUGAUGAAAAUUUUAUGUUCUGCUUGCUUGCUAUUUACUAUGAUUAUAUUUUAAGGGUGUGUUGACUAUGUUAAAAUACAAUGAGUAAUUAACAAACAUGAUAUAACAAUAUUUUAAUACCGUGAGAAGUUCUAAUACCCUAGUGCCAAGCACGCCCUAAAUGUCAUAUUUGCUGAACAAUACGAUCUUUUUUAAUCCAAAAUUAGAGCUUUUAUUUCAAUAUUUAGAGCAACACCACGAAGAGGGUUGAGUUGCGCACGGUCUACAAAUCAGGAACAAGUUUAGCUACAUAAGCAUAAAAUAGCAUCGCAUACAUCCAAAAUAUAUACUAUCAAAUUACAACUGCGGUCUGGCAGGGAAGGGCUUUUAAAUAUAAUAAUUACAAGGAAGCAAUCACCAGCCAAAUGAAAAUAGACAUGCCAUAAAUGGAAGCAACCAUCAGCCAAAUGAAAAUAGAUAUUGCCAUAUUGGCGACUAAAAUGAAAACUAACAUAUUUCAAGAACUGGCUUAUGAUAUUCGCACAGUUCUCGGCUUCUUUAUGCACUGAAUCCUUUGUCGAGAGAACUCCAAGGACCAGAAGGAAUAUUUUCACAGGCUUGUGCUGAUGCUUCAGCCAUCUUCUCUUUCCCAAUUCCUGUAUUACAGAUGUUUGCAAGAGAACGCAUGUGCUUCAUUCCAUAUUGCGAUAGAGCUCCACAGUGCGACUCAAAAGUCCUCACCUGCACAGAGGAAUAGACAGAAAAGAACCUUGUUAAUGAUAUUUUAAGUGUUGUCAAGGGAUUAAAAAAUACAAGAAUUGAUGAUCAGGAAUUUUACCAGUGAUUUGAGGCAGCCCCAGUCAUCAACAAGAGGGUGACCAGCAGGUCGAACAGUGUUCAAGAUCUCUGGACCUUUCUCAAUUCCAAAUAAGAGCUUUCCAAUAAGUUUGAUGCUGUGGUCUACAUGCAUUCUAUGAGACAUUGCUUCAAAAAACUGCUUCUGAGCUUCAGCCUUCCUAGGAGUGCCCUCGGGUGCCUUGCGGUACUAUUAAAGUAACGGAUAGGCAAAGUGAGGUAUAUUCUUAAGUAGAAAGGAGAAAAUUUUCAGACAUAUACUGCAGAAAGGGUCGCUAUUUUACAAUUCAUCCCCCCCCCCCACAAAAAAAAUCUAUUUAGGGCGUUCUGACUGUUAUUUCCACAGGUAACAUAGCAGGGUAACCAAAACUUCCACAUCUCAAGCAAAUAGAAACAUACAUGUUCUAUAGGGGUUUUGUACCCAAUGGCCAAUGGACUCUGCUUAUACUGCUUUGGGUAUAAUAGAGAAAUGGCAUACCUAAAAAUGGUUCCAAAAUUCUUAAUAUCAAGCUACUACCAUGCUUUGUUACAUCACUAAUCUCUUUUCCUAAUUCCAACUUAACCAAUCAUAAGACCCUUAUACAGUUUACACCAACCUCAACAACGAGAUGACAAACUUUCAAACCCAUGUUGAACAUAGAAUUGUGAUCCAUUCCCACAUUGGGGAUUGAAAAAGUAAAUGAAUAAAAUAAGAUAGAGAGGCAGCAUUCAAUUUAAUGAGCUAUGUGCAUUGUUGGAUACAUACCUUGUCCCAGAAAUGCAAGAGAUCGGCAUCUCGCUGGUUAACAGCUUUAGAUGCUGGCCUCAAGGAGUUCUCAUCCACAAAAGUGUAGUUAUCAUUUGCAGGAUUUGUACCCAAGUACGUGAAGAGAUUGUUCUUGCUAAGACCGAUAUCACCAUAUUGCAUGACAUGAGAGCCAUACGAAUUGUAACUAGCAGUCCUUGUUUUAACCUGAAAUUUCGAAAAUCAAAAAACUGAUUUUAGCGGUUAUCAAAACAAGCAGGUAAGAGCAGGAUCUAGGAUUCUUAAAAAGCCAACUGUUACUAAUUUUAUUUGCACUGAGUUAACCAUUAUCUGUGUAUAAUGAACAUCGAUGAAGUAAUAAAGUCUCAAUGAGAUCUUACCAGUUCAUACUGCUGGUGAAGAGUUUCUGUCCGCAAGUUGUGUAUGUCACUGUGCAAAGGUCAAAAUAUUAAAAUUCACCCAAAAAAAAAAAAAAAGGCACACGCACACACUGCUUCUCUAGGAAAAAACUGCACAAAAUGAUAAAUUUUUAGAAAAGUUUUGUUCAGUAAGUUAAUAAAUCCGGUCAAACCAGUACUUUUCUUCUAUUUUCAGAGAUUACAGAAGACAGACAUAGACAUGUUGUUACUCAAGGAAACAGAAAAAUGUUGCCAAAGUGAAAUAAAUAAAAUCAUAAAUGUUGUCAUACCUGUCCUCCAUCCAAGCAAUACUAUACAAGUCACCCAAACAAGUGCUAUAUUCAGGGGGAGGACCAGGAAUCUCUCCAGGACAAUAGGUCCCCCAACUGCUCUCUUCAGCAUUUGAAGCUGUGGUUGCAUAGAUAUUUAAGCCCUCAGGAAGAAGACCCUCAAAGAUACUUCCAGAUUCACAGGCUUCGAGAUAAAAUACCUAAAUUUUUUGAUAUUGAAACCAACAAAAAUUUCAAUUUGCCAAGACUAUUAUCGAAAUAGAACACAUGUCAAAUGGCAGUUCACCAAUUACUUACCAAGCUUUUGUAGUUCCCAGAAGCAUGCUUCUUUUUUAAGACAUCGAUCAGUUCAUCAGCAUAUAUGUAUCGACUGGUGGGCAUCCCUGAAAUAGAUCACAAAACAGGUGAACUAAGAAGUCAAUUUUACAACAGAAGUUUAAAAAUAGUGUCGGUUAUAACGUAUAUAUCCACUCUGUUGAAAAAAUAAGGUAAGAUAUUUCAAGUAAAACCAAUACAGUUUUAACCUUCUGAGUAACCAAUUUUUACAUGAGUCAUGUUGGCCUAGGCUUCAAACAACAUGCAACAGCAUAACAACACAAUCAGAUUUUUAUUCCCAGUAAAAUCACAAAUAUGAAAAUAAAUAAAUAAUAAUAAUAAUAAUAAUAAUAAUAAUAAUAAUAGAAGAAUUUGUUUAUAUACAUAGCUUGCACCGCAAGUGAUGUGGCAUCUGACGUUGCAAGAUUGACACCCUAUUGAUAAAUGAUAAAAUCAAUCAAAACUUAAACAUGACCAUUAAUGAUUGGUGAUUCAUCACUUGAGAUACAAACUAUGAAUCCCGACUCAGUAAAUAUAAUAUUACCAUAAAAGAAAUGCCUUUAGUGGUUAAAGAAAAUUAUUUUGAAUCUUUAAACCAUGUGAGACGUUCUCUAACAGGGUUUUUCUAGUGACAGUCAUAUACCACCAAAACCGGUUUGAUUUGGGCCAAAAGAAAAAAAGAUAAUCCAAUUCUAUGGUGUCUAUUUUCUAAAAAUCACUUCAGAAUCAAAAUCAAGUUUUAUGACACACGCUGAACUAAAACCAGAAAUUGACCAUAAGAUGGAAGAAAUCCAAGCCCAAGGACCACCACCAUCUAAUUCGGGUAACUACAGCCACUAUUCAAACAGCACAAAAAAAACACAUACAAUAUAAGACAGAGUGGGGAACUUAUGAAGAAUCGUGGCUACUAACCUAGCACCCCAGGGCCACCAUGAUCUGAGUAGAAUAUGAAAAUAUGAUCAUUGGGGCCGCUAUCCACAACCUUCCCACUGCCCCCUGUAAGAGCUGUUUUAUUUCCCAGGAUAACAGCAAAAAAGUUUUCAACAGUAACAUCUUCCCCCGUGUAAUCCUGCCACAUGAAAGAAGAAACCAUGAAUAAAAUAAUAGUAGUAGUAGUAAUAAAGAACUUUAUCACAUAUUCGGAUGGUUGAUCUUUGAUGCAAUAGUGAGAAUAGGAAUACAAGCUCCUAUACAACUCUACCCAUACGAACGGAUGUGACAUUAUUAUAUCACUAUCAUAUGUUCCCCAUUAUUUAUUUGCUUUUAUUUCUUUGAAAAAUUGCCACAACAUGUUAUAUGAGUAGAGUUUGUAGAGGAUUAUGUAAACCUAGAAUUACUCUUGAGGUAAAGAGACCUUUGGAACUCCUUUGUAAACAUCAUCGCCAUGGGGGUGGUUAAUGAUGACUCCAGGCCUUGGGUUCUCUUCAUUGAAAGCGAUGUCAUCAUACAUGAAAACAAUAAUAUUUUCAUCCUUCAGCCCACCUUUCCUCAAGAGUUGAUAAGCAUGACAAAUAUCAGCCUGAAAUAGAAAUAAAAUAAAAUAAAUACAAAAAAAUGAUUUAUGAAGCUCUACACAGAAUAUGAUUAUGACAUCAAUAGACAGUAUAAUAUGCUGAAAUUCAUAAUUAGAAAGCAUGUAUGUGUGCGUGUAUAUAUAGAGAGGGAGUCCUUCUUUGUUGAGGACAUCCUCACUUUAACAAAAUAAGAUAUCACUAAAAUACGAAAAAACACAUAUUUCAAUCUAUUAGUAUAUUGAAAUUUUUAUUUUUAUUUUUUGUCUUUUGCUGGCAUUCUCACCUUAACAAAGUAAGAAUGCCCUCUCUCUAUAUAUAUAUGAAAAGUGGACUUGAUAGGAAAUCAAAUCGCCUAACAGCAAUAUUUACAUCAAGCCGCUUACACAAAAGGUGCAAAUACAGUUAUCCACUUAUUUAAAGUAAGAAAUCUUUCCUCUGAUUCAUACAAUCGUUGACAGUGUACACAAACAAUUGUCACUCACGGGCAAAUCAUAAAAGUUUCACUUGAGAUGAUGAACAAAUAAAUGAAAGUAAAAUAUAUAUAUAUAUAUAUAUAUGUUUUUCAAACAAAUAACCAAAAAAUUUUAUUGGGGAAAACCUUUAACCAGACUGAUACAAUUAAGAAAUAUGUCAAGCUAUGUGAUAGUUUGUUUGUUUGUUUAUUAUUAUUAUUAUUAUUAAUUUUUUUUAAGAGAUAGUGCUUAAGUUGAUCCACAAACAAACUGGAAAUUUGGUUUUUAAAAAAAAAAAAAAGCCGAAAACAUGAAAUGAAUUUCACAUUCUUUCUUUUGUCUGAUUGUCUCGGCUUACUUGCUGCUUACGUAAAUUAAACAGUUACGCGCAAAAUGAGAUUCUCAAUAUUCAGACAUAAUUUAUGGCGAGCUUUUUAAAUACAAGCAUCAAAGAAAACCUUAACCUUACUUCACUUUCUGAAAAAAAAGAAAAAAGAAAAAGAAAAAAAAUUUACAAAAAUAAAAUAAACUUUCAUUAUAAUAUUUACGAAAAGAAUAAAACUUGGUAAUUCCAAGGAAUUUAUUAAAAUAAAACGUGAUUUCAAAAAAUAAAAUUCAGAUAGCAGACCUGAUGCCUGUAAUUCCAGAAGCCAUUAGAUCCGGCAAGCAGGACGGCCCAUCUCGUGCCGACAGAAUCAUCAUCAUCGUUGACCUUUGCCCCUCCCCCACCAUUAUGGAAGAACCUAUAGGCUUCCGAUGGUAGCUUCAGAAUAUCACCUGCUAUGUCUCUGCUUCCAUCGGCGAUUCCUGCAAGAGCGACUAGGAGCGUGAUUAACACGCCGGUGGCAAGGCGCGUCAUGGUUUUUCGAAGGGGGUUGAUUGGUUGCUGGAGCUAGUUAUGGAAAUGUUGUUGUGGGGAAGAGCUCUGUUAUUUAUAAUACCGAGUGAUGUACUGCUGACAAUAUAUUUUUUCUUUUGUUAUUUUAUUUUAAACGGGAAAAUAUUAAUAAGGGGUAAAAAUGUUUUAAUUUAUUUCAAUUCGGUAAAAUAAUUUAUAAAAUUCUUAAUCAAUACCCUAUUUAUUACAAAAUUACCAACUUAGUUGGUUAAAAGUUAAAACUAACGAUUAGGACAGAAUCAUUUGUUUAAUAAUUAUACUUGGAAGUUAGAAAUCUUAAGACUAUAUUAUAUUGAUCAUAUUUUAAUUUUUAUUAGUUAUAAUUAAAAUUAAGUUGAUUAUACUUUAUGCAGCAUUAUAAAUAUUCUAAAAUAUUUAUUAAAAUCAUGUUAAAUGGGUAUUUAUUAAAAAUAUCAAAAAACUAUAUUAAAUAAAUAAUGUAAAUAAUAGAUGAGUCGACUUAGCGUAUGAGAUUCUUGAUUAGAUUUAUAUGCUAUUCUUUAUGAGCUCAAAUAUAAUAUAUCAACUCUCAUUUCACUACUUAUUAAAGAUAAUAAAUUAUUUUGUUAUAUUAAUUUUUCAGACUGCUCAAACUCUUAAUUUAAAUUAAAUACAUCAAAACGUUUGGGCUCGCGUUGAUUUUACGUUUGAGCGUUUACUUUAUUCUAAUUCUGCAUUUGAGAAAUUGAGAAUUUUAGAUAGUGUAAAGCGAGUGAGGUUGCAGAUGGCACGUACACGUCAGCAUAAGUGAGGAUAAUUUUCUUAUGGACGGUCCAGAUGCAACCGAUCUUCCAACAAAAGUUGAUGUCAGCUGCACCAGGCAUCUCAGCCGUACGUCAGCAUUGAUGAAAGAAAGAUCCAUGCGGUUCGUGCCGUGAAUUGUGGAAGUAUGAAGUGCAGGGGGAUGCGGGGGUAAUUUAGCAUGACUGCGGUUGCGUCCCUUUCGAGGUUGGAUAAACGGGCGAUAUAACGUGGGGUCACUUAGCCGCCCCGGCAGUCGUUAGGUAAUGUUGUUGUAUUGGCUGCUUUCGUCUGCUUUUCAUCCCGUCAAACGAAGAGAGUUUCGGCCCAUCACGUCUUUGUUCCUUUCCCAGAAAAAAAUAAAAAUGAUUCAUUUUCCUGGAAAACACACCCGACCGUAUUACACGGAACACAAAAUUAGUGUAAACGACUAUUUACUUUUGUUAUUAUUGUAAAAUUCGAAAAUCUUUUGAUAACUAAUAAGAGGAUCCUUUUAACAUAAUGUAUGUUACACUACUCACAUGAACAAUGAGUGGUGUGAGUGGCUGUAACAUACAUUAAAUGUAUGUUAAGGUUUAUCCUAAUAAAAGGGUGUAUAAAAUGAAAUUCGUGAGAAUAUGAUGAACUGCAAACGGAAUUUACGUAUAUAAUACGCAUGUAGACAAUAGACUUAUCAUGUACCUUGUAAAUAAAAUAUGAAAGACACAAUCUUUUUUUUUUAAGUAUAAGACAUUUUAUUUUUUAUAAGUCAUUGUUGAGUUCAAUAACUUAAUUUAUAAAUGUGUUACCUCUCUCUUUUUUUCCACAUUUGAUAAUAACUAUAUAUAUAUAUAUAUAUAUAUAUAUAUAUUGUUUCGUCCUUUGAUUUUCUUGAAUAUUACAUUAAUUUUAUUAUUCUUAUUAUUAAACGGAUAUUGGCCUUGAUUAGCACAAUAAUAAUGAAUGUAACCCAUAAAUUGGCUUGAAAUUACAUAAAUCUCAUAGAAAUAAAUUUGGAGAAAUCUACUCUACCUAACUCUCGAGUUUUCUAAAGCAUAAAAACACUCUUUGUGAUAUUUUUAAUAAUUUCUUUUAUUAAAUUAUAAAAAAUUAUAAGCCGGGGAACAGAGAUAAGAAUCGCUCAAUCAAACGAAUCUAAAAUUAUUGAAUGGUUAAGCACACGCGUAUGUCCUAUCAUCUCAUUUUUUUUUCUAACCAAAACUUGGAAUAAAUGUCAAGCGAGAGAUACUUUUUCAACUUGGCCUCUUUGUUGUGAGAAUGACUUCGAUGGGAAUCUUUUGGAAUCGUGCACAUAAAGAUAACGCGACCAUGGGCCACGGCCUAUGGCCCUUGCCGAUUCAUCAGAAUUCAGUUGGAAUCAAUUUAAAUCAUUCAUGUAAGACAAAACAGAAUCGGCAGUAAACAGCGAGCGAUGAUGCCCAUUUGGUUAAGGAAUCCUUCCCCUGCUUGCACACUUCAACUACCUCUUGUCCCCCUUUUUUACCUUUGAUUUUGAAAUUCUUUACCAGUAUCAUGAAUUGAAUUAAUAAAAAAAUUACCAAUUGAUGAAUUAUUCAAUAAAAUUUUUAGUAGGACGGACGUUAAAUAUCUAGUCAAAUUCAUUAAGGCUCCGUUUGAAAUUGAGGUAUUGUACAUUUUAAGCUACAGUUGCUGUAGAAAAAAAGUUGUAACUAUCACACAAAAAUUAAUAAUAUAUAGUAAAUAUAAAUUUUGAUAAAUUUAUUAAAGAUAUAAUAGAAAUUACAAGCUAAGUAGUUAGUGUUUACCAAACACUUUAGCACUGUAAUUUUUAAACAACAGCUGCUCAACAUCAAUCCCAAACACACCAUAAAAUUAAUUCAAAUGCAUUGAAUUAUUCUAUUCAAUGAUAUCAUAUGAUAAUAGUAAGGGUUUCCAUUUUGAACCUGUCCAUAAAUCACACCAAUUGUUAGAAUUCACUCUCACAAAUUUGAACCUGCCCAUAAUAUAUACCCACGAUUUGCUUAUACUAAUUGAGAUUUAAGUUUCCUACCCGAGUGAUAUUUAGACUGUAAAAAAUAUCCAUGCCUUAAGCGCAAUACUGUUCAAUAAAAAAUAAAAAUUAAAAAUCAAUCUUGCUUGAGAAUCACCUUGUAGCCCUCGGUCCAAAUAUAUAUAGAUAGAUAACAGUAGAUUUGACCAUUGUGGAUUCCAAAUAUUUCCCAUGAUAAAGUUUUCCACAUUGGUUGGUUUCAUUUCAAGUCCUCUUUCACAGAAAUCAACAUCAUCUAUCUUUCGGUUUUGGGCCACCGAAAGCAGCGCACACGAUCACCUAGGUUGCCACUUGCCAGUAAGGACACGUACAGGUUAUUAAUAAGCCUCGAAACACAGUGACAAGCCAUGUGAUGUUCAAUUUCGGACUAUUGCGUAGUUUACGUACGAUUUUUAUCUUUCUUUUUUUCUUUUUUUCUUUUUUUAAUGAUCGAUUACCAUACUAUAAAUAUUACAAUUUAAAAACUUAUUCAGAAUUUAAGUAGAUAUACGUGUAGUGCAGCAUAAAAGGUUACUCAAAUUUAUUGUGGCAUCGACUGGCUAACCUAACCUUCCCUUCCGCGCGGAACAUGAAUCUGCUUGUGACCUCUAACUUUUCACGGAGAGACGAGCCCACCACUACCGCCAGUGCCUGAGUGGCGUGUCCUGCGGAAUUAUUGGAGGAAGUGAAAGAGGAGCCGUGCUUCAACGCAACAAUUUUAGUUUCAUUUCAAAAGAUUCUGAAUUUCGGCCUGGGUCCCGGGAAGAUGCAUUUGCUGUUUUAUCAGAUGAUUGUUGUUUUUUAUAAUAAUUGAGAAGAGGAAAAAAAAAAAGACACAAAGCAGUCAUAAUUAGCAGCCGCAGCCCGCAGCCUGGGGUGUUUUCGUUUUCAAGCUCACGGGAAAUCAACCUCGCAGCCUCGUAGGCAUUUUGUAAACGCUGAAAAUAAUUGCAAUCGGGCAGCGGCCACUGUCAUGCUGCUAUUGGCCACUUGCCACGCACAGCAAUUCUGACGCACUAAAGAUAAUGAAAGUCAUUGUAGUUGUCAGUUUCAUGAUGUAGUGGCAUAGAAUAAUUGAGCCCCCAGGAGCAGGAAUCCAACCUGAAUCUCUAAUGUCAGAUUCAAGAAUUUAACAUUAUUUAAUAGCAAGAAUCGUGGGAGAUCCACCCACUUUUCUUUUCUAAAGAUAUUUAUUUAUUCGUUCUUAACAUUUUUCGCUUGUAUUUACUUUGUGCCUUUAUCCUAUCUAUCGUCGUCCGCUUGAAAUCUGUGGCUGUCUGUGUACUGACGCUUGCAUGAUACGAAAGAGUGGAGCUUUUACAUCACUCUAAAACCCUUACAACAACGAUUUUUAUUUUUAUAAUUUUAUUCCUAAAAUACCACUGGUUUGAUUGAUAAAAUAUAUACCUGUAAAUUAAAAUUAACAUUUUGCUAUAAAAUAUUACCUUAGAAAAGGAUCUUUCUUUUUAUGUUUUCAUUUUAUAAUUUUUUUAAAAUAUAUAAUUUAAAAUUAUUUUAAUUUUAUUAUAUAGUUUUUUUUCUCCAUAACUCUGAACUCUUAUAAGUUUUUUUUUUAAAAAAAACUUUUAUUAAAAUAUAGAAAUAUAAAUAUAAUUUAUGAAAGAGGACGGGUGUAAAAAUUUAGUUAAAAGAAGAAUUUUUCUUUCCAAAAAAAAAUUAAUUUAAUUUUAGUUAUUUAAAUCAUUUCGAUAGAGAAAAAAAGGGUUUUAUAAAAAAUUUAAAGGGGGUGUUAAAACUCAAAAGAGCUAUUCCAAUAGGAAAUUGACACCCUUUUGAUCCUUGAGUUUGAGGCCGUAGUGCAAGCUCAUUUUUUCUUAUCCAAAUAUUUAGCCUCCACUUUUAUUAUUCUGGAUUUUCUUAAUUAUAAUAUCAGAGUGCUUAAUUUGAGAUAAAAUUGAAUCUAUUUUACACCAAGUUUAUACCCAAUUUUAAUAAACUAUAUAUAUUAUAGCAAAUGGGGUCUAAAAGAAACUGGUAAUUACUUGGGUUGGUUGUCUCACGUCUGUUUCUGGUCCAGCCCAAGUUUUAAGCCGAAGCUUGGAUUUUUUAUUAAUUGGGUUGGCUAAACCGAAACGAGCCCAGGGAUAUCCUCAUGAGUUGGACUAUUGGCACCCCUCCAUAAUCCUUUUCAAACCCUCUUUUAUUACAAUCGUAUUUCAAGACAAACACUUUAAUAUAUCUCACAUCUAUUUUAUCUCACUUUAAAUUUUUGUAUUUUCUCUCUUAAAAAAAAAACUUUUAUAUUUUCUCUUCUAUCACACUCACACAUGUAAUUUUUUUCUCAAAUUCUCUAUAAAUUUUUCUUCAAUUAAUAAGACAAUUUAUUGCUAAUAAACAAAACACAUUUUGAUAAAAUUAUCUUACCUUUUUUAGGCUCGUACUAAAACUUUUUACAUCAUAAUCUUAGAGAUAAUUUAUUUAAUUCAUUAAUUUUUGUCAAGAAUUUUAUCACCGAUAAAAAUUAUUUGUGAGGAGCGAGAAAAAAAUAAAAAAUUAAAAGAUUCACAAAUUAAAUGUAUUUAUUUAGAAAUAAGGGUAAUUUUGGCAAUAAGUUUAGUAUAGCUGAAAAAGGGGUUUUAAAAGAAUUUUGGAGGAGUGCCAAUACUCUAAUGCCACGUCUACUUGCCGGAUUCAGGAAUGGGAAUCCGGAAUCAGAAUCAUUCCCGCGCUUACUUGCUAAAAUAAGGAGCAGAAUCAUACUCAUUUUCGUGGAUCCCACAACAAUUUGGGAAUCAAAUAUGGGAGUCUAAUUCCCAAGGGGGGGGCUUGGGAAUUAGACUCCCAUUCCCUACAUUUCCCAUUCUACCCACAUUAAUUUUAUAUUAUUCCAGAAAUACCCUCACUCUAGAUAAAAAAAUAUAAAAAGUGAAAAAUUAAAAAAAAAAACAAAAAAAAUCCCUAAAACCUAAACUCUCUCACCCAUGCCUCCCAAUUGAAUGCCAUCGGAGCUGCUUCCAUCACCAUCGCAGCCAUCACCGUCUUUGUUGUCAUGGUUCGUUGGCUGUGGACAGCUGCUCGUUGCCAGUUUCAUCUCCAUUGGGCCGCGUCGAUUUCCCCCCAUCUCAUUUCAUCUCCAAUUUCGUUUUUAAUGGCGACGAUUCUGAUCUGAUGCUGCUGCUACUGCUAACGACGAUGAUUGUCGUUGCCGUUGUUGUUGAUGACGAUGACAAUUGAGAUUUUGACUGUUGUUUUUUUUUUUUUUUUGGGAAAUAGAUUAUUUUUGUUGAUGAUGAUUAUUUGGGAAAUAGAUUAAUUUGAUGAUGAUGAUUAUUAUUAUUAUUAUGGAAAUGGAUUAUUUUGUUGAUGAUGAUGAAUCUGAUUAUGAUUAUUAUUAUUUUUUGAAAUGAAUUAUUAUUUUGUUGAUGAUGAUAUUUUUUAUUUUGAUUAUUGUUAUUAAUUUUAUUAUUAUUAUUAUUAUUAUUAAUGAUAAAUUAUAAUUAAUUAAUAAACUAACAAUAUAUUGUUGACAUAAAUUAUUCCUUAUUGAUUUUGAUGAUAACAAACAUGAUUAAUAUUGAUUAAUCGUUUUAAAAGCUCAACAUAAUUUUCAUCUAUUUUGACAAGUUUCAUAAAGUAUUUUUAUAAAAAUUUGGAGACAAAACAGUCAUCUUGCAAAAUAGUUCACUGCAGCAGUUUUUGUGGAAAACGGCGAUCCGACAUCUGUAGUAAACGGCUCGCCGAUUUCAAGCAGAAAUAGAGAUUAGCCUCUGGACGAAAACGGCACACCGACAUUUGUGAUAAACGGCUCACCGAUAUCAACCAGUAGCCUCUGGACCUAAACGGCGAUCCGAUAUGUUGAUAAAACGGCUCGCCGAUAUCAACCAGAACUGAAGGGUAGUCUCUGGACUUUAACGGCGAACCGACAUGUGUGAUAAACGGCUCGCCGAUAUCAACCAGUAGCCUCUGGACCUAAACGGCGAUCCGACAUCUAGAUAACGGCGAUCCGACAAUUUGAAAAAUCAGCCCAACGGUCAUAUUGACCAGUCAAACGGCGAUCCGACAUCUAGCUAACGGUGAUCCGACAGUGUGCAGAAAGUCAAUAACGGCUAGUUUUCAGCUGCAACUAUAAAUAAGCUCAUUCAAAUCCAAACAAAGAUUGAUCACAACACGACCAUUGAGCAAAUAUUUGAGAAUACAAUCUUCAUAGAGCUUAAAACACAUUCUCUCUUCAUCUAUUCACAAAUUGGGCAUUGAUUUGUAAUCUUAAAUAUUGUGUGAGAGAAAAACAAUUUGUAAUCUUUUACUUUGAGUAAUUGUAAGUGUUGGGAUACACUUGGGUUAAGAGAUUGGGGAUAAUCUCUUGUUGUAAAGGUCCAUUGACACCUUGGAAGUCAAGUGUAAGCAUUUGAAGCCUUGGAGGCUUGCUUAGUGGAAUCCUCAAGCCCGGAAAGCUUGGAGGCGUGGACGUAGGCAAGGUUGGCCGAACCACGUAAAAAUCUCGGUGUUUGAAUCCCUCUUCCCUUAUCUUUUUAUAUUGUGAUCAUCUUAAUUGUUAUUGCUUUGAAUUUGAUUUAUAAUUGCAUUAAGUUUUUCUUUAAUAAAUUAAAUAUUUUUUAGAAUCCCAAUUCACCCCCCCUCUUGGGUUGCAUACUUGUAUUUCAAUUGGUAUCAGAGCCUUGUUCUCUUGUUAAGACUUAAUCGUCUAGAGUAAAAGAUCCAUGGCAACCCUAAAUGACUCAACCUUUAGAGAAGGGCAAUCCACAACUAGACCACCUUUUUUUUGAUGGUAAUGAUUAUGCUUAUUGGAAAACUAGAAUGAGAAUCUAUUUGCAAGCCUUAGAUUAUGAAAUUUGGGAAGUUGUUUGUGAUGGUCCAUUCAUGCCUACGUUCAAAGAUGAAGUAGGAGAUGAUAUUCCUAAACCAUCGAGUCAAUGGAGUGAGUUAGAAAAGAGAAAGAUGUCUCUAAACUCCAAGGCUAUGAAUGCUUUGUUUUGUGCCCUUGAUAAGAAAGAAUUCCAUAGAGUAUCUAGUUGUGAAAGUGCACAAGAGAUAUGGAACAAACUUGAAGUUGUCUAUGAAGGGACAAAUCAAGUGAAAGAGUCUAAAAUCAGUAGAUACACUCGCCAAUAUGAGUUGUUCCAAAUGGAACAGAAUGAAAAUGUGUAUUCUAUGUACACUAGAUUCACGGACAUAGUGAACACCCUAGGUGCCUUAGGGAAAACCUUCUCAAAUAGUGAGAAAGUUAAGAAAAUCAUUAGGUCACUUCCAAAAGAAUGGAGACCUAAAAGAACCGCUAUUGAAGAGGCCAAAGAUUUAAAUAUUUUACCUCUUGAUGAUUUAAUUGGUUCUCUUAUUUCGUAUGAAGAGGAUUUAGCUGCAGAAAAAGGACAUGAGGAGAAGAAGAAAAGCAUUGCUCUCAAAGCUUCAAAAUAUGAGAGUGAUGAGGAGAGUGAACCGGAUGAUGAAGAACUAGCCAUGCUAGCAAGGAGGUUCAGAAAAUUCUUCAAGAAAACCGGAGAGCGAAGAAAUUUCAGAAACUUCAAGAACUAUAGAGAGAAGAAGGAGGCAAUCACUUGCUAUGAAUGCAAGAAGCCUGGACAUAUAAGAUCGGAGUGCCCACUUAUCAACAAACUCAAGAAGAAAGCAAUGGUUGCAACUUGGGAUGAUAGUGAGGAAGAAUCAAAUGAUGAAGAAGGAUCGCAAGAAGUAUCAAACCUAGCACUCAUGGCAAUAGGAGGGGAUGAUGAUCUCAAUGAGGUAAGUGAUCCUACCUAUGAUGAAUUAUAUGAUGCUUUUCAAGAUUUGCAUAAUGAGUUGAUGAAAAUUGGUAAAAAGAAUGUAUGUCUUAAAAAGGAAAUGGCAAAGCUUAAAAAUGAAAAUGAAUCUCUAAAUGCAAGAAUUGUAUGCCUAGAAGUAGGAAACAAAACAUUGCAUGAUGAAAUUGCAUUAUCAAAUGAGAAAUCUAGCAUCUUACAUGAGCAUUUGAAAUCACACAUAGAUGAGUUGAAAAAUGAGAACGAAUUGCUCAAGAAAAAGAAUAAUGAAUUAAAUGAAAUUGUUUUGAAAUUUACAAAUGGGCAAAAGAUGUUGGAUAAUAUGCUUAACUCACAAAAAUGUGUUUUUGAUAAAGGAGGACUUGGAUAUAAGCCAAACUUGAAGCAAAAGUAUUAUAAGAAUUAUUUUGUUAAAGCUACCUCCACAAAUGAUCAUAAGAUUGUAUGUCAUUAUUGUAAUCAAAAUGGUCACAUGAAAUUUAGAUGUCCCGUGAAAAGGAAUGCAUAUUAUGGUGUCAAGUGCAUUUGGGUUCCAAAAGGAACCGUUGCUAACUCUCAAGGACCCAAAAAGCUUUGGGUACCUAAAACUUGAGACUUUUUCUUGUAGGGCUUGAAGAAGAAGAAGAAUAAAUGGUACUUGGACAGCGGUUGUUCAAGGCACAUGACCGGAAACUAUGCAUGGUUCUCAAGCUUUACCAAAAUUGAAAAUGGUGGAGACGUAUCCUUUGGAGACAACUCAAAAGGAAAAAUCCUUGGAAUUGGAAAUGUUGGUAAAGUUUCUUCAACUCUAAUUGAGAAUGUAUGUUUGGUUGAAAACUUGAAACACAACUUAAUUAGCAUUAGUCAAUUAUGUGACAAAGGUUAUAAAGUUAUCUUUGAUAAAUUUAGUUGUGUUAUUGAGAACUCAUGUGAUGGCAAAACCUUAUUUGUUGGAAAUAGAUGUGGUAAUGUUUAUAUCAUUGACAUAGAAUGUGCAUCUACUCUUGAUAAAUGUUUUUCGGCAUUGCAUGAUGAUUGUUGGUUAUGGCAUAGAAGGUUAGGACAUGCAAGUAUGGAUUUGAUUUCAAAAAUUUCGAAAGAUAAUUUAGUUAAAGGUCUUCCGAAAAUUGGUUUUCAAAAGGAUAAGAUUUGUGAAGCUUGUCAAUUUGGAAAACAAAUUAAAACUUCUUUCAAGAAUAAAAACCAUAUUUCUACUUCAAAACCACUUGAACUUCUUCACAUAGAUCUUUUUGGGCCAUCUAGAUAUGCAAGUCUAAAUGGCAAAUAUUAUGCAUUUGUGAUAGUGGAUGAUUAUUCUAGAUAUACAUGGGUAUUAUUCUUAGCCAAUAAGGAUGAUGCUCUUGAUGCUUUUAAAGUGCUUUGUAAGAAAUUACAAAAUGAAAAAGGGCAUGGUAUUGUAUGCAUUAGGAGUGAUCAUGGAGGAGAAUUUGAAAAUCAUGCAUUUGAGUGUUUUUGCAAUAAUCUAGGCAUUGAGCAUCAAUUUUCAUCACCUAGAACUCCACAACAAAAUGGAGUUGUUGAGAGAAAGAAUAGGUCUAUUCAAGAAAUGGCUAGAACCAUGUUAAAUGAAAAUGCAUUACCAAAAUAUUUUUGGGCCGAAGCCGUCAACACCGCUUGUUAUGUUUUAAAUCGGGUGUUGAUUAGACCUAAUCUUAACAAAACUCCUUAUGAGCUUUGGAAAGAUAGAAAACCCAACAUUGGAUAUUUUAAAGUUUUUGGAUGCAAAUGUUUUGUUUUGAACACAAAAGACAAUCUUGGUAAAUUUGAUCCAAAAUCCGAUGUUGGUAUUUUUCUUGGUUAUUCAAAUUCAAGUAAAGCUUAUAGAGUCUAUAACAAAAGAACCUUAGUUGUGGAAGAAUCUAUGCAUGUGACAUUUGAUGAGUCUAACCCCUCCUCUACGGAGAAAGUCGUUGUUGAUGAUGAUGCAGGAGAAGAAGAACAAGAAGAAGAAGCAUCAAAUGACAAACAAGAGGAUGCACCACAUGAAAUUCAAGAGGAACAUCAUGAAGAACUAAAUGCGGAGCAAAAUGAAGGUACUUCUCAAACACUCCCCAAGGAGUGGAGGUAUGUCUCUUCUCACCCUAAAGAUGUAAUUUUAGGAGAUCCCUCACGAGGUAUUACAACUAGAUCAUCACUUAGAAAUACUUGUGAGCAUAAUGCAUUCAUCUCUCAAAUUGAACCAAAAUCCUUUGAGGAUGCAGAAAAUGAUGAAUCUUGGAUUAUGGCAAUGCAAGAGGAGUUAAAUCAAUUUGAAAGAAACAAUGUGUGGGAAUUAGUUCCUAAACCUGAACAUCAAUCUAUAAUAGGUACUAAAUGGGUGUUUAGGAAUAAGAUGGAUGAAUCCGGUGUGGUUGUAAGAAAUAAAGCUAGAUUAGUGGCUCAAGGCUACAACCAAGAAGAAGGAAUUGAUUUCGAUGAAACCUUUGCUCCUGUAGCAAGGUUAGAAUCCAUUAGAAUGUUGUUAGCAUAUGCAUGUCAUAAAGAUUUUAUUUUAUUUCAAAUGGAUGUGAAAAGUGCUUUCCUAAAUGGAUAUAUUAUGGAAGAAGUGUAUGUAAAACAACCCCCUGGUUUUGAAAAUGAAAAAUUUCCAAAUCAUGUUUAUAAGUUGUUUAAAGCUUUGUAUGGUUUAAAACAAGCACCUAGAGCAUGGUAUGAUAGACUUAAGAAUUUUCUGUUGGAAAAUGACUUUUCAAUGGGUAAAGCGGAUACUACUCUAUUUGUUAAGCAUAAGAACCAAGACAUACUUAUUGUUCAAAUUUAUGUUGAUGAUAUUAUUUUUGGUUCUACUAAUGAGUUGUUGUGUAAAGAAUUUUCAUCAUGUAUGAGCAAAGAAUUUGAGAUGAGUAUGAUGGGAGAGUUGAAAUACUUCCUUGGACUUCAAAUCAAACAAAACGAGGAAGGAAUUUUCAUAAAUCAAGCCAAGUACGUAAAGGAUCUACUCAAACGAUUCGGCAUUGAUGAUUCAAAGACCAAGAAUACACCAAUGAGCACAACAACCAAGCUGGACAAAGAUGAAAAAGGUAAAGAAGUGGACAUCAAAAUGUAUCGAGGUAUGAUCGGAUCCCUACUUUAUUUGACUGCAAGUAGACCCGAUAUCAUGUUUAGUGUAUGUUUGUGUGCUAGAUUUCAGUCAUGUCCCAAGGAAUCUCAUUUGCUCGCUGUUAAAAGAAUUUUCCGUUAUUUGAGUGGAACCAUAGAUAUUGGCCUUUGGUAUCCUAUGGGAACUCAUAUAGAUUUAACAUGUUUUUCGGAUGCGGAUUUUGCUGGUUAUAAAGUGGAUAGGAAGAGCACUAGUGGAACUUGCUAUAUUCUAGGACACUCUCUUGUUUCAUGGUUUAGCAAGAAACAAAAUUCUGUCGCACUUUCAACUACCGAGGCUGAAUAUAUAGCUGCCGGAAGUUGUUGUGCACAAGCUCUUUGGAUGAAACAAACACUUAGAGAUUAUGGCAUUAAUCUUGAACAAAUUCCUAUUAAGUGUGAUAAUACUAGUGCUAUUAAUCUUUCAAAGAAUCCCAUUCAACACUCUCGAACCAAGCAUAUAGAAAUAAGACAUCAUUUCUUGAGAGAUCAUGUUCAAAAGAGAGACAUUGCACUAGAGUUUAUUUCUACGGAAAAACAACUUGCCGAUAUUUUUACAAAACCUCUUUGCGAAGAACAAUUCUCCAAAAUUCGGCAUGAACUUGGGAUGAUGAAAUUUUCACAUUAACAUCUUCAUUCAUGCUAUUGAGUCUAUUAUUAUUGAUUGAUCUAUGACUUGAUGCUUUAAUUUCUAUGGAAUGCUCAAUCGUAAUAUGCAUGUAAUGUGUAUGUAUAUUUGAAAAUGUAUGAAUUAAUUAUUGCAAUACAUAUAUAUAUAUUCAUGAAUUAUGCAUUGAAAUGGCACUCAAAUCAUUUUGGAUCAAUAAAAUGAUCUUGAAAUGUAUUAAUAAGUAGCCAAAUAUCGAAAUACAUGUGCGAAAUCAUAGGUUGUAGAAAACGGAUCGCCGUUAUUUAAAUAAACGGCUAACCGUUUUGGGCAGAAACAAUGGAACGCUUUCUGGAAGCUAUCGGUUCGCCGAUAUAUGUCUAUCGGCUCGCCGUCCUGUUACAUUUUUCUUGUGUGGACUCUCUGGACCCUAUCGGCUCGCCGUUAUUUAUAUAAACGGCUCGCCGUUUUUUUAUGAAUUUGUUUUGAGGACUCUCUGGAAUCUGUCGGCUCGCCGUUUGCUUUAUAACGGCUCGCCGUUUUCUUUAUAACGGCUCGCCGUUAUCACGCGUUAAUUGAACAGUCCUUCGCCUUCCUCCUCAUUUCGGCUUCUCUUUCUCUCUCUCUCUCACCUCAACCCGCGACUGCACCAGUUCUCUCCUCUCAAAUCCAUCACUUUUCUUGUCAUUUUUCACCAAAUUGAAGCAUUACAAACCAUUUCUAUCAUUUCUAACACCUUUUAACCGAUUCAAAUCCUUCUCUUUCUUCAAAUUUUGAAAAAUCUCAUCUUGAAACCCUAGAACCAGCCGACUCUCAUUCGUUCACUUUGACCCAAAUUUCUUCGUCUUUCCAACCACAUUUUCACCCACAAUCACUAUCUCAUCUCUAAAACUUCAUUUUCACAAUUUUUCUCUUCCAUGGCGGAACGACCUCCAAGGCGUGUUCGAACCAAGCACACUGCUUCACGCCGUUCCAGUCCACCCAGGUCUCCUCCUCAAGACUUCGAAAGUCUUCAUUUUCCCGAUGCUACCUCUGCUCAGCGUUUCCGUGAGAAGUUCAUGGGUAAACCCGUAACUCCCUCUUUUUCUCUUAACACUUCGGAAUUCUCGGAUAUUUCUGUUUGUGGUCACUCAAUUACUCAAAUGCUUAGUCAUUGGAAACAAGCUUUAAGUGUUGAUGAACCUAUUUAUGAAAAUCUUGUUCGAGUCUUUUAUUCAAACAUCGAUUUCUCCUCUUCUAGUCGUGACGAGCUUCAUACAUUUGUAGGAGGUAUUCGUAUUGAACUUGAUGAACCCGAAUUAUGUAGUAUUCUAGGAAUCGCUUAUGGAGGAUUAGAUCUGUACACCUCUAGGAAAGAACUAGAGUUUAGUAAUUUUCGUCAUGUGGAUGGUGUACGAACAUUUGUCGUCGUCGGGAUCUUUCCGAUGACAUCUGCUCUUUGUCCUUUAGUCUCAACUCCUCCCUUUUCAGAUUCGAAUACUUCACAUUAUUCUCCAACACAUGGUCACUCCUAGGCAGGGUCACACUGAUGAGGUCACUAGGCUUGAUAUUGGUCUUUUAGACUCUCUCAUCCGUAGACGCCAUGUGAGCCUAUCCUACACCAUUAUGUGUCAUAUGCUGACCACUCCUAAAGUCUCCAACCGAUCCCUUCCUUAUGGCAGCAUCAUUACUAAAAAUCUUGAACCACUUUCAUGUUCCU